GGAGGGGACAUCUCCGCGGCCUGUCACUUGGCCGCAGCCUUACCGCCGGCCCGCAGCCCCUGGCUCUGACUUGCGCUUCCGUGUCCUGAGACCCUCUUCCCGCACCCCACCUUCCGCUGCGCGCGAGCCUCUUCCGGCUUCCACACCGCUCCGGGCCUGUUUCCGCUCCUGGUAUGCUCCCCGGGAUCCUUUGGCCAGAGCUCCUGAGUUAGCUGAAGGAACUCUGGCGACCCGGAAGUCCCGCCCCUCCCCAUCAGACUCUUCAUGUCUGGAACUUUCACCUCAACUGCUGUAAGCUAGAGCAGGGAGCUCAGGUUUUUUUCCGUGGUUGACAUCUCCUUGGUUUAGGGUUCAGACAAGGGAAAGGAGGCCACCCAAAUACUUCGUACCCCAAUUGGCUGCAAAUGAAAAAAGGGAACGAUAAGACAAGAAGGCGAGAGAAAGUUAAAGAGCGCUGAGCCUUCUUGGAUUUAAGAGCUGCUGGGGGCAGUAUUUUAUCGUUUGUCAAAAAAUACUUAGCAGGUUUUGUGACACGACUAUGUCAUGUGCUCUUUAAAGACUCGAAGCAAAAUGUUUUUGUUUUUAAAAACGGAAGGAAAGGGGAGAAAAGAAAGAUGGGUGUCCAGAGGGGGUCAGUUUUGUCAGCUCUGUACCUUGCUUUGGAUGGCACUCUGGUGUUCAUAGACUUCUGCAGUUAUCAUACAUAAUGAUCAAAGAAAUAAAAACAUGUUUUCUGGUGGGAUGGAUAUAAUGUGGCAAAGCAGUAGGGCAGAAAUGGUGACCAGUUUAUAAUACAAAGGUGUGUUUAAUAAGGAAGAAUUAAUAAGCCUAGGUUAGCUGAACUGGUAGGAAGAAAUCGUUACUAGAAGUGUUUAAUUCUAGUAUUUUUCAAAAGGCAGAGAGUUUAUUCUAAAGCCAAAUAUAAGUGAGGUUUGGGUUAUCCCCAGUUCUUUGUUCCAAUAUGAAGGUGUUAGGGUAACAGACCAACAAAAAUUAUUUUCCAAAUACACUGAUGGGAAUGUGAAAGCAUGGGGUGAAAGGAACAAGGAGAUUUUAAGUCUCAGAUCUUAGGUCUCAGAAUCUGUAGCUCUCAAAUUAUAGUUGACCGCAUCCUUAGCAGUUCUACUGGUGGAAGCUAUUAGUUUGUCUGUUCCAAAAGACUUACCCAGGGACCAUUAAAUUGUUAGGUCACAGAGAGGUGGUAGCAAAUGACUAUUAAGCUAAUGAUGGUCCAAGAUAAAUUAUCAUGUGACCCUGGACCUGUCACAUUCCAGCCUCUACACAAACACUGAAGGCUUUAAUCAGGCAACUGGCCUUGCAGACUCGUCAGUGUUCCCUGUGGUUGUUUCCAGAGACUUUUGUCCCAGUUCUCCCUGUUGAACUUCCUCAGUCGAGAAGCCACACACUAAUUUUUAUUUGUUGCUAGGAAGGCUUAUUUCUAAAAUCUGAUGUAAAUGGGUUGAGUAAUAACCAGGAAAUCAGGCUUUAGGAGAAAGGAGUAUCUAGUAAAGCCACUAAGGCAAAACUCCAGGAUCCUAUUGCCAGAAUAUACCGGACAUUAUGAUUUAGAUCUUUUCAGUUUUUCUUUUGGCCAGCCUGAUUUUCUUUCUUAUGUAGUAAGCAGUAUACACUGUUAGAGUGUUAAACAGAAAAACCUCUUGACAAUAGUGACUUGACAGAAGUCAUUUGCCACUUUUCUCCUUGAUUGGAUGUGUUUAUUGUGUCCUGGGCAGCUGUCCAGUAUUGGAAGCCUUUGUUCUUCUUGUGUAACUGUUUGCUACUCUCUUUACUAAGUCGACUCCUAUGUAAUCUAGAUAUUAUACUACCCUGUCCUUUGUCAAUUUUCCAAGUAUUUCAUGAGUUGCCACUUCUCAAACAAUUUACCAGCAAGUUGAAAUGGAAUGGGUAAAAUGGAGAAAAAGUUAAAAAGAAUUUAAAAGCAUCUUAGGAAUUUGG
Molecule: long non-coding RNA, 1956 nt
Filed under: Mus musculus (house mouse)
Lineage: Eukaryota; Metazoa; Chordata; Mammalia; Rodentia; Muridae
Description: predicted gene, 46218
Source: RNAcentral